Triticum aestivum (bread wheat) is the source of this 1774-nucleotide long non-coding RNA. RefSeq lists it as uncharacterized. The record is from RefSeq and is a predicted model, not a curated record. The transcript has 3 exons. NCBI's taxonomy places the organism in Eukaryota, Viridiplantae, Streptophyta, Magnoliopsida, Poales, Poaceae.
AUCAAUCUCUCCCGAUCUCUCUCCCUAAGCAAAAGCCACUGCCGCCGCGGGCAACUCAGCGUCAUCCGCCUUUCCUCCCUCCCAUGCUCAAGCACGCCCUUAAGAUGUUGCUGCUCCUAUCCAGACGAUGAUGCAAUCAAUUCACCAGGACCUGAACACCUACCUCAAAGCCAGCUAGACAAGGAAGCUAGCACACAUGUGUAUGGACUGAUGAACAGUGCCACAUGCACAUGCCACGUAUUUGAACCAGCACUUUGCAACAAUGCUACGAUCGGAUCGAUCGAUCUUGGCGCCGUCGGCGGCCAUGAAAAAAAAAUCGAUGGCCAAAGUUUACGCGAGUUCUCGCCAGGACCUCCAUCGAGAUCGAUUCGAUCCUAUCAAGAUGCUGGUGCAACUCAGGCGCUGGCGCGUACGUGAUCUUGCGGCUAGAGUGCACGUAUUGCUAGCUAGCCACUGUUCAUCAAUCUAGCAGUUUGCAUGGCUGCUUGAUUGAGGCUAGCUUGCACGUAUGUGUCUCGGCUCCUGGAGUAUACGAGCUAGGUUUCAAAACCAACAGCUGACACCCAUCCUGCUUUCAUCUCCCUUUAUUGCUGUUAUUGGCUCCUAUAAUCUUCUCUAGAUUUUCUCAGUGGCCGCUCAGAUUGCACCAUACGUAUUGCAGGGGCUAAGUUCAGUUUAUUGGGACAUAGAGGAUAAAGACAAGAAUGUUAGAGAAGCGAUACUUUUUCUCGUGACUACUGUUAGGAUUGAUGCCCUCUUGGCAGGAAAAGAAAAUAGCAGCUAGCAACAGCUGCAUCAUUGUGUGGCCAUGACAUAGCCAGAUCUGUUGAUGUGAUUGGCACUCACGCAGAAAAAAAGUUCUGUGUCUACUCCUAUGUAUACUCGAGGUCCAUAAGAAAAAUGAAGAAAAAUCUAUCUAAUCAUCGUCUAGCGGCUCCCGCCCAAUUUCGUGGUGUCCGCGAUCCAGCAGGCGCAGACCCAACUUCACCGCUCACUUAAAGAUGCAAUGACAUACAAUGCCUUGCCACCUGGCACCUCUCACCAUCGAGGAUGGCAGGAACGGUUGAGCCGUGUAUGUGUCAUUGUCCAUGUGUGACAGUGUUACAACCUAGCGGAGCGACUGCAGGCCUGCACUGCAUCCUACCUCAAGCUGAACGGAUGUCUGCAGGCCGAGACGCCAGUGACAGCAAUGGAAGAUAGCGCUGUUGGAGGAGCUCCAGAGGAGUCGGUGCACCGAAGCUGACAUGGACGUACUUCAUUGCGGGAGCCAGGGACAUCAGUGUGGCCAGAAGCUCUCAGGUGCUCCUGCAUGUGCCCUGCAGCUAUUAGCAGCUAGAUUCCUAGGUGGAUGAAAUCGACCUAACGUACUCCGCCCAGUGACACAACACAGUAAUGUGAGCAAAGUGGCCCUUUCCUUUGCCCAGCCCCAAUCUUGGUUUGUCCAUCUUCCUCUGUUCGAGGUAAUGUGUAAAGAUAAUACCUAAUGUUGUUAUUUCUCUUUACCAUACUUUAGAGAUUGGUAAUUGAAAAGGGAUAAAAUGAUAUAUCAAAUCAGAUACGAUAUCCUUAGAAGUAAUGCUAAAUUUAAUAAUGUCCUCAAUCAAAAUACUAUGCAUUGGACAUACACGCUGAAGGAACAAAUGGUUGAUAUCGCCGGCAUAGCUUUUUAUAAGAGGCUAUAUGAAAAUUUGUAUUGCUGCAUAUGAUUCUUACAAACUGUAACACUGUGAUUGUGCAUUGGUGGAUAGAAAAAUCGUAUUUGUUGUUGCAUGAA